AACGACGCCUCUCGUUCUAGACCUGGAUUGCUAUACUCUCUGGUGGAUUAACAAUAUGAACUAGUGUAAUUAAUGGUGUCUGUAUUUAUGAAUGAAUGGGGAAAUUACAAGUGAGAUUUAUGUAACCUGGAAAAUAAUGGCGAACCUCCAAUGGAAAAUUUUGGCAAGUGUUUACAUAGCGACCAAGCUCAUCUUCACCCCACUGAUAUGGGUUGAGCAAUAAACUACCCGUGUCCGUUACUCUGUCCGUGGAUGACCCAAAGUGUUCGUGGAUGACUUAGGUUAUCCACAUAAAUCAUCAUUGUGUCUGCUGAUGUACUCAAGUAUCCCUGGAUGACCCUAGCAGGCUGUAUCCCUGAAUCGUGUGGUCAAGUCAGGGCUCUGGACUAUGUGGUACCACCGAGGCAUUUACCACGUUAAUCCCAAGCAGCCCAGCAGACAGUCAAGUUCCUGGUCUUGUCUUGAAACACUAACGUCCAAAGUGGGAGGUGAGGUCGGCCCGAUGGGUGCUGGGGCCACAUUUGGGGAGUCUGUGCUCAAUGACACUCCCAGACGAAGCACCAUCGUCACUAGAGAGAACUGUGAGCUACUGAGGGUGGAACAGAGGGACUUCAGGAAUAUAUGGCAGAGGAACAAGGAAUUUAUGCAAGACAUGAUUUACAGCUCCACCAGGAAGGAAGCAGCCUCUGGAUCAGUCAUGGAGGAGGGACGGGCACUGUGGCGUCGGGUGGGCUCACGACGUCGACGCUCUGCCACCCCCAGAGAACUCCCACGAGAACCCACCUCCAGGGCAGACGAGGGACGUCGUGGCUCCGCUGUUUCACCCACCAGAGCCGCGUCCUCAUCCCCUGUGAGAGCACCCGGGGGACACCAGCAAAGAAGUAGCUCUAUAUCAGUGCCCAGAGCCUCUAGUACCCUCCCUCGGGGCUUUAACGUUACUCGAGGGGCGUCCAUAGAACACAGUGGUGCGUCACACAAGGGAAGCAACUCGUACAUCGGGCCAUCUACAAGCGAUAGUCACAAUAGGAACAAGAGCGAAUCUCCUUCGCGAGAAUCUUCGUCAAGGGGCUCCACACCCAGGGGCACACCCACCAAGUCGUCACCCGUACAAGGGACUCCUACAAGAGACGGACCCCGGCGACCCAGUCUGACAAGGGCCGCCAGUUUCGACAGCCCCUCCGUCAGUCCACGACGCUCUAGCUUACGUAGCGCGGUACUCCGUCUACGGUGUGAGUCUCAAGACACAGCCGAGGAAGAAGACGAGGAGGAAGUAGAAAACGUCCCAGUGGUGAACUACAGAAGACAAGAGAGGGACGAGGAAGAUGACGAUGAGGAUGAAGACGAUGAGGAGGAUGAGGAUGAGGAAGACGAAGACGAGGAAGAAGAUAUGAGUGAGAGUAAGGAACCAGGAGGUGUGAUGAAUGGCAACGGGGGAGUGAAGGGACGAACGAAGGGGCGUCGGAGGGGUGGAAGGAGGGACCGCACCAAGGUGGAACAGCAGCGCUCUCAGGAACUGGACUCCCCGAGCAACGCCGCUGUACCCAUAGUGGAGGCUCCCAGCACCCGUAUCUGCGAGGCGGCGUGGGUGUUAAGGACCCUCUUGUUGGCACGGGCUCCUCACCUGCUGCGUGAUCGUCGACACCGAGGAUGUCCCCAGCCCAGGUGUGGUGUGGGCACGGAGAUGACAGAGUGGUUGCUGUCUCUCACCUCCACCGUACACUCCAGGUCACAAGCAGCGGGCAUGUGGCAGUCACUGUUAGAGGAGGGCGCCAUCUACCACGUGACGGGGGAGCAGCCAUUUAGGGACAAGUACCUAUUUUAUCGAUUCCUGGAGGACUCAGCUGCAGCCCCUGGAGUACCCCCCAUCACGCCAUCCCCAGCUGAGAGACGGGAUGCUGAGGAUAGACUGACACCCAUCCUCGCCUUCCUCCAACAGCGAGCACCAGACUCCAUGCUCAGAAUGAUUCUCAGAAAGCCGAGCCACGAGCGGACCAUCGAGGACCAGGAACUCAUCUACGAGGAGCUUCUCCACCUAAAGGCGCUCUCCCAUCUCUCCAACUCCGUCAAGAGGGAACUGGCCUCCAUCAUCAAGUUCGAGUCCCACUCCAGGGAAGGCACCAUAUUGUUCCAGCAAGGCUCCGAGGGCAAGUCAUGGUACAUCAUUCUUCGUGGGUCCGUCAAUGUAGCUAUCCACGGCAAAGGGGUCGUCAACACCUUACAAGAGGGAGACGAUUUUGGCAAGUUAGCCCUCGUGAAUGAUGCUCCCAGGGCAGCUACCAUUAUUCUACAUGAGGACAACUGCCAUUUCCUGCGUGUGGACAAGGGUGACUUUAACCGCAUCAUGAGAGACGUCGAGGCCAACACGGUUAGACUCAAGGAACACGGUCAGGAUGUCCUCGUACUUGAGAAGAUCUCCUCCAACGCUCACUCACACUCACACUACAAGUACACAGUGAUGGCAGGGACACCGCAGAAAAUGUUGGAACACCUGCUGGAGACGCGGCUGGACGGUCGUCGAGGCAGCACAGGUGUGGAGGUGGCUGAGCUCCCCCUCAGACGGUGCGACAUGGCCACCACCGACCUCUUCCUCGACGACUUCUUCAUCACCCACAUCGUGUUCAUGCCUUACCCACACCUCACCCAGGAGCUCUUAAGACAUUAUCGUAUAGACAGUCAAGGUAACAGCCAAGAUGAGGAGUUCAUUGUGGCGUGUAAGAGGCGAGUCAUCCACUUUGUCCACCGCUGGGUCAUGACCAUCAAGAGACCGGUCUUCUGUAAUGCUGCCGCCACACAGUUCCUGCAGACGCUGCAGGAGGAGGUAGCCAAGGAUGUGGAGGUCUAUGGGGUGGCCCUGCGAGAUGAAGCCACCCUGAUGCUGAGCGUGGCUGAAGCCUUAGAGCGUCACGAGAGAGAUUGUUCCAGCUCGGGGGUCAGUAAGUGGAAGCUUCCGACUAGCGGACGACCCAUCAGUCUCUUCGGGGUGCCAUCGACAGACGACACAUUGGAUCCGCACAGGGGAAUGCGAGCGCAGGACGACAGUAAGGGCAGCGGCAUGACCCCCGACGUUUCUCUGUCUCACCCCUUGAUGUGCUCUUCCGUUAUCUUUCGUGUGUACUGUGCCGACCAUACCUACUGCACUCUCAGGUUCUCUCUGCAGACUACUAGUGAUGUUAUUAAGAGGUCAGCUGCCGAUAAGUUGGGUCUUCGUCAGGAGAACUUACUGCUGGUGGAGUUAAAGUCUACAGGUGAAGUGGUACCUCUACGGGAGAAAGAGGUCUGCCCUCCUACAGGUCUCACCCUCAAUGGCAGACUCUUCAUCUCGAACAAGGACCACCUCGACGCCCUGAUGCCCCUCCCAGAACAGGAAGGUCCGUCAGAGGGCAGCAUCAACCAACUCGAGAUGUACAGUACCCGGGAACUGGCCUACCACAUCACCCUUCACGACUGGGAUCUCUUUAGCGCCAUCCACGAGUAUGAGUUCCUGUAUCAGGUGUUCGGACGUGACCACUUCGGGCAGGUCAUGUGUAACCUGGAUGUAUUCUUACGCCGGUUCAAUGAGAUACAGUACUGGGUGGUGACGGAGAUCUGUCUUGCUAAUGCACUGUCUAAACGUACCCAACUACUCAGGAAGUUCAUCAAAUUGGCAGCUUACUGUAAGGAACACCAAAAUCUGAACGCUUUCUUCGCCAUCGUCAUCGGCUUGAGCAAUGUUGCAAUCUCACGCCUCACACAGACCUGGGAGCGACUGUCAUCAAGGUUUCGUAAGAUGUACACAGAGUUUGAGAUGUUGAUUGACCCAUCGAAGAACCAUCGCGCGUACAGAAUCUACGUGGCCAAACUCCUCCCACCUAUCCUGCCUUUCACACCACUCCUGAUGAAGGAUAUGACUUUUACACAUGAAGGAAACCGCACCCUAAUGGAAGGUUUGGUCAACUUUGAGAAGAUGCACAUGUUGGCACAGACACUGAGGACUAUUCGGUACUGUCGUUCCCGGCCACUAGCCCUCGAGGUUCCGGCAGUGCCUAAAAAUGAAAAUGAAAUCCGAGUGUAUGUGAGGAACCUUCAGGUGAUUGAUAACCAGCGCCGCCUGCUGGUUCUCUCCCAGCGGCACGAGCCUAAGAGACCAUGAGUAGAGAGAAGAAAGACGCAGCCGUCUUUCAGUUGAAAAACAUAGAAGAAUUACAGUGUCCAUCAAGUAAAACAGGAAGAAGUGCCCAUAAUUUUACCAGACUGGAGGAAGACCGUGAGUGUAUCACCAUCUGCAGUGCAGUGAGGCAGGAGGAGUAGCAUAGAAAGGAACCAUUCACUGGAACUUUUUCAUAAUACACAAUAUUUUGGAAACGUCCCUAAGGUUUGGUCAGUGGAUGAGUUACCUGCGAGAUGCCACUUGUUGAUGUUAUAAUGUGUUACUGUGUUUUAAAUAACUAAGAUUCUUAAGUGAGUGUUCUUAGGUUCACUGUUUGUCCAAGUGAUUAAAGUUCCAGCAGCAAAGUAACAGUCCUAUCUGGUUAUUAUGUGUUACUCUCUCACAUCUGCUCACCCAAGGAGUUGAGGAUUGUUAAGCAGAGCAUUGAACUCUGACUCAGUAGGUGAUUUGAAACACAACAAAUUGACAAGUCACUGUGCCUGAACACUAAGACCAAUUCUUCCUCAUCUGGAAACCUCAAUCAACCAUUAUAUGGGACCCUUAGCUCUGACCCUUCACCACUGUCAGUAUAUAGUACUCUUCAACACCUUGUGGAUCUCUCCGGGUAUGAGUGCUAUGUUCACUCUGUUUCUUUACUUGGUGGCUGUAACAUUCUUAACAGUGUUUAUAUAAUAUACUGUAGCAUCUUUACUAUGAGGUGAACAGUGGGUGUGACUAUUAUGUCAUGUUUUUGUUAUUCUUUUAGUAGGUGUUGAUGUUUUCACAAGGUAGAACCAUGGGAUGCGUGAUGGUGUAUCAAAUGUUUAGGAGACUUUUCCAAUCUGUAUUGCUCAAGAUGCUGUACACACAUCUGCUGAGACUGCCUUGGGAGCUCUGUCAUUUUCUCAGUCAGUUAAGCAUGAAAUAAAAUGGUUCAAUGACUUGUCAGCUUUCUGGCUUUUGCAACAAACACCAAUGGGGUUAAAUUCAUUUGGUCUGUUUCAGUAACCCCAGUUUAUAGAACCACCAGUUGUUUGUCAACCAUUUGUACAGUAUAUUGAUAUUUUUAUUUAUUUUUUCCUCAAUUCAGUCUUAAUAGAGUUAUUUGACACAUGCAUCUCAGACCAAGGUACUGUACACAAGCCAUAGUAAAAGAAUUCAUUGCCAUAAAAUCAAGUUCCUAUCCCGCCGUCUGAGCCUGAUAGAUACGGGAAGCGCCUAACAGAACCGAGGACCAAACAAGGCCCAGCAGAAUAACACGUUCAGACAGUGCUGCCUGACCACUCUUCCCCUGAGGCUGUUGAGCAGGACAAUGUUGCCUGUUGACAGAACACAAGACAUCCUGGACUAGAGAGGCACUGCCAAUGGGUUGACGUUAGAGAGCAUCAUCUUAUAAGCUGCUUGUUUUUCUUCCUCAUCCAUAAAAUAGGAUAUUACAUCUUAGUCUUUUGUCUUAUUCAUAAACAAAUUUAAUUUUUCCUGAACUCUUAGCUUGUGUUGAUCUCCAUGUUAACAUUCAGUUAGUCCUACUUUGUCUUAUAGAUUGUACUACAGUAUUUGAAUAUUCCCAGAGAGUAGCAACAAUCACGGUGUGUUAUUGGUAGUACCUGUUGCCGCAGUUUGGAUUUUGUACACACUUUUCUUCUCGUAUUCCUCUGCCAUUUUGCGUGUUGUCUCCUCUUCGCCAACAAGCUACAAAUUCAUCCCCGUUGCCCCUUCAGUGUGAUGACUUAUCAUUUGAGUACGAUAACUUAAACCAUUGAGUAUGAUGACUUAACCCAUCUUAAUCAAUAAACUAAUUUACUGUACUCAUGGGGGGGGGAGGGUGUUGGCAUCGCACUGAAAGGGUUAACUGCGGAGCACAUGUAAAUUGUCUAUAUCAUCUAUACACCUGAAAAAAAAUUGCAGUCAUGAUUUUAGGCUCAGCUAGAAGGCAAACUAUAUUUGUUUACAUUACCGUAUGAUUGUAAAGACCCUCGUUUGUAUCAUAGUUCAGUAUCUAAUUUGAUACAACCGUCCAUCACCUCAUGUUAAUUAACCCCUUGUCUCACUAAAUUACAUAACAGGAUUUAGUGUAAUAUUUUUCCUGUAUUGAAGAUAUUUUGGUGCAGUCCAGUAUCCAGAAAACAACUCCCUGUAAUAUUAACACACAAAGGUUCCAAAUCUAAUAUGAAUAAAAAAAGUUGUGCCACAAGUUUUAAACAGAAGGUAUUCAUGGCAAGGAAAGAUUUGCAAGAAUUAGAUUUAAUAUUUGUUUGGCAAGAAUUUGAAAAUGUUGGGAGCAUUUUUUGCUAUAUUUUCCUCUAGGUUUUUAAGGAUCCAAAUUCACAUUGUUAGGUUAAUCCAUAGAGAUGUGUAUGUUCAGAUUCUUUGUUUAGUGUCACUAUUUCAAACAUGAUGAUCUAAGUAACAUAUGGAAACAAAAGCCUUCAAUAACAAAUUGAAAACAGUCAAAAGCAAUUGUUUUCCCCCAAGUGACUGGAAUAAAUUAUUCAUCGUUUCGCCUGCAGUAGAUUAUUCCAUUCUUGACCUUGGUCCGUCCUCCUUCAUGGGUGUCGUCAGUGUGUGAGGCAUUGUUCCCUCCAGUUUUCAGAAACUGUCCACUGUUCUAAAGCCCGUCCUUACCUUAGUGCUAGAGCCAGAGCUACCAUAUAUACAUAAGACCCCGUCCUUCAUCUUGAAGCAAUACUACUGUACUUUACUGUACAGGCACUCCCCGAGUUAUGAAAAGUUGACUUAUGAACACCGUCACUUACGAAUGGGAUCCCAAUACAUUCAUCACAAUAAUCUGAAACUAAAAUCCUGUUUUUUAAAUUUAUUUCAUUAUUCUAUAUUGUUUAACAUCACUUUAUUUACAUUUGUUAUGUAUGGGAUAUUAAUAUAUAGGCAGGGUUGUGCUUUAACUUAACCUAUCCUAAGGAAUUAGCACUGUUCUGACGUAUGAAUAUUUAGACUUACAAACAGGAUCCAUGAACAUAACCUGUUGGUAACUCGGGGACUGCCUGUAUAUGACUAUCGUUUCUUUUCUCCUUCAGUGUGUGAAAUUACAUAUCCCUUAGGGGGAUGAAGGUUUGUUCUCACAGUUCGUAAACACAAAUCACUUAAUUAUAGUGUAAGUAUAUGAGCAUAUUUAGUGUUAAUGCUUGUUCAAAAACUGAUAAAUUAUUUGUUGUUAGGAAAAUUAAGCUGACAACUUUCACUGGCCAAGUUAUAUAUGUUUUUUUUUUAUUAUUAUUGUUGUACUGCCUUAAAAGUUAGGUAAAUCCAUGUCAGGACGCACAAACACACACUUUUGGCUUUGCCUGAAGUCUGUAAUUGUGUUGAGAGAAUUGUAAUACCUUUUGUCUGUAGUGUAGUAAGAAUUUACUCAAGCCAGAAAUAUAAGACAAGGCUUUUAAGGUAAUAUUAUAAAGUGAAGGCCAAACAUUAUCCCUCCUCUCUCUGUCCAUCUCACAAUGAUAUACGUAGUAUAUUUUAACUCAUCUACACAAGACAUACAAAUUAUUAAAGAAUUACUGUAACAAUAUUUCUCCCUAUAUUCCCUUAUUGUACAUUUAUUUUAUUUUGAUUCAGUUUCCAAGGACUAAUAUUAAUCUGAUAGUGUAAACAUUGACAAUAAACUUAACAACAUCUUAAAGAAACACAGAUGUUAUGUUUAUUUUUCUUUAUGAUAUUCUGCAGAAAAAAAUGUUAAGUUGAAGUCAUGACGGAAAAUAUUCACACUUUAUAUACUUGAUGAGACUGUAUACAGUAGUUCCAUAACUAUAUUUUAUAAGGAGAAUUAAUGUUAAUUCUUUUACCUUGGAAGAUUACAGCCAGUAAAUAACCUUCAAAGAUUAUAUGCAGAACUUCACCCCAAUAAUCAAUUAACUCCCGUACGUUUUGUUUUAAAAAUAUAUGAAAUAGAAUGCAUUACAAUUCUCAAGUAUAGUUUAUAAUCAAUUUAUGGUCACUUAUGUCAGCUCUAUACAACAUUGAAAAAUAUUAAAACAGUGGUAAUCAUAUAUAUCUUGAGUCGUUAGUGAUGUAUUGGUACUGUAUAUGCAAAUGGUGAGCAGCAAUAUGAGCUGUGCCUGACCCUAUAAAUCAUAAUGACUGAAUGUAUUAUGUUAAAUGUCCAAAUAUAUACAGUAUAUAUAAACAUAAUAAUAGAACAACAUUUUGAAUGGCUUUUUGUCUCUACUAUUGUAAGAUAAUAAAAAAAAUUUGGUGUUGGUAUACAGAGUCGUUGAAAAAGAAUACAUAUAUUUUAAGUGUUUACACUGUAUUAUAUGAGAAGCUGGGUAUUGUUUUUCAAGGACCCUCUGUAUACAGUAAAGAUCGUAUGUAUAUCCGCUACAGAAAGUAUCUAUAAGGUGGGGUCUGAGGGAUGUCAAAAUGAACACUGAUUCCUGUUGUCUCGGUAGUGUUGUCAAAAUCCUUCGCCCGUUGUGUCAUAUUGUCUAGCCCUAAAAAUCUGCAGAUACUUUUUGCAGUGAGUGUACCUCUUACUUAUACCAGAAUUUUGAAUACAUAUUUCUUUUCACUUUUAAAAAUCUAUACUGUAUUGUAAGGUGGGAUAUUUGUCUACUCUCUUAUUGAAGUUCAUGUUUACUGUAUAUUUUCUUAUCUUCACUUUCUCUUUCUCUCUUUUUCUAUGCAUCUGUUCUUUAUUUACCUCAUUUCUUGUACAGUAUUUCACUCAUCUUCACACUGUUAUCUUCCACCUCUCUCUUAAGGUCUAUAUUUACUGCAUAUUAUCCCUUUCUUUCUCUUUUAUUGCCAUAUAUCUUUAUUUUCCUCAAACAUAGCCUAUAUUUCACUUGUCUUUCACACUACUGUCAUCUUGCUCAAAUUAUGCCAAGAAUAGAAUCAUAUCAAUGUCAUGUAUAGCUGUGUAUAUAUGUGCGUCAUCGUGUGUGUGUGUGUGUGUGUGUAUGUGUCCUUGAGAAAGAAUCUUUUUCUUUCCCAUUUCUUUCACUUUUUGAUGUUGAUGUUUUAAGAUAUUGUAAAGACACAUAUGUUUAAAUCUUAAUAUAGAGUACCCAGAUGAAUAUUUCUAUUUCCAUUUUUGCAGUCUUCACAAUAAAAAAGGUAACUUCUUU
This 9210-nucleotide unclassified non-coding RNA is filed under the name Homarus americanus (American lobster). RNAcentral's name for it is "rap guanine nucleotide exchange factor 4-like, transcript variant X8". Lineage: Eukaryota; Metazoa; Arthropoda; Malacostraca; Decapoda; Nephropidae. The record is from RNAcentral.